GACGAACGCUGGCGGCGUGCCUAAUACAUGCAAGUUGAGCGCUGAAGGUUGGUACUUGUACCAACUGGAUGAGCAGCGAACGGGUGAGUAACGCGUGGGGAAUCUGCCUUUGAGCGGGGGACAACAUUUGGAAACGAAUGCUAAUACCGCAUAAAAACUUUAAACACAAGUUUUAAGUUUGAAAGAUGCAAUUGCAUCACUCAAAGAUGAUCCCGCGUUGUAUUAGCUAGUUGGUGAGGUAAAGGCUCACCAAGGCGAUGAUACAUAGCCGACCUGAGAGGGUGAUCGGCCACAUUGGGACUGAGACACGGCCCAAACUCCUACGGGAGGCAGCAGGAGGGAAUCUUCGGCAAUGGACGAAAGUCUGACCGAGCAACGCCGCGGGAGUGAAGAAGGGUUUCGGAUCGUAAAACUCGGUUGGUAGAGAAGAACGUUAGUGAGAGUGGAAAGCUCAUCAAGUGACGGUAACUACCCAGAAAGGGACGGCUAACUACGUG
RNAcentral lists this ribosomal RNA (497 nucleotides) under uncultured bacterium. Its description in RNAcentral is "partial 16S ribosomal RNA". It matches the Rfam family "Bacterial small subunit ribosomal RNA", at positions 28 to 507 of the family's 1533-position model. The record is from RNAcentral.